UACAGAGGUCCCAAGCGUUUGUUCGGAUUCAUUGGGCGUAAAGGGUGCGUAGGCGGCGCGGUAAGUCGGGUGUGAAAUCUCGGAGCUUAACUCCGAAACUGCAUUCGAUACUGCCGUGCUUGAGGACUGGAGAGGAGACUGGAAUUUACGGUGUAGCGGUGAAAUGCGUAGAUAUCGUAAGGAAGACCAGUGGCGAAGGCGGGUCUCUGGACAGUUCCUGACGCUGAGGCACGAAGGCCAGGGGGAGCAAACGGG
Molecule: ribosomal RNA, 255 nt
Filed under: uncultured bacterium
Lineage: Bacteria
Description: partial 16S ribosomal RNA
Rfam family: Bacterial small subunit ribosomal RNA
Source: RNAcentral